CAGCCGCCGCGGUAAUACGAGGGGGGCAAGCGUUGUCCGGAAUUAUUGGGCGUAAAGGGCUCGCAGGCGGUUUCUUAAGUCUGAUGUGAAAGCCCCCGGCUCAACCGGGGAGGGUCAUUGGAAACUGGGAAACUUGAGUGCAGAAGAGGAGAGUGGAAUUCCACGUGUAGCGGUGAAAUGCGUAGAGAUGUGGAGGAACACCAGUGGCGAAGGCGACUCUCUGGUCUGUAACUGACGCUGAGGAGCGAAAGCGUGGGGAGCGAACAGGAUUAGAUACCCCAGUAGUCCCUGUCUCUUAUAA
This 301-nucleotide ribosomal RNA is filed under the name uncultured bacterium. Its description in RNAcentral is "partial 16S ribosomal RNA". It matches the Rfam family "Bacterial small subunit ribosomal RNA", at positions 509 to 809 of the family's 1533-position model. The record is from RNAcentral.